CACGGUGUGGUGUCAGCAGGAGUGACAGCGGCCCCCAAGCUGUGCUCCCUGCCCCCCGUG
Molecule: microRNA precursor, 60 nt
Filed under: Cordylochernes scorpioides
Lineage: Eukaryota; Metazoa; Arthropoda; Arachnida; Pseudoscorpiones; Chernetidae
Source: RNAcentral